This 54-nucleotide small RNA is filed under the name Pan troglodytes (chimpanzee). RNAcentral's name for it is "processed transcript". The record is from RNAcentral. Lineage: Eukaryota; Metazoa; Chordata; Mammalia; Primates; Hominidae.
CAGGUUGGGGAUGCCUCAGACUUGUGAUGGGACUGGGCAGAUGCAUCUGGGAAG